GAAAAUCUGCAGGUCCGUUCCCAGAACAGUGGGUCACUCUCUCUGCCCUCCUUCAGCCCCUCUCACACGAUCCCACCCCCACAUGUUCUGGGGAUGAGGGGGAGAAGCCCCACCCUCUGUUGCUGGGUUUAUGUCCCAACAGUCGCAGCCGUUCGCACCGGCAUUAGUCAAAUCUCCAUCAAGUUGGUGAGUAGUGUGUGUUUGUGUGUUCGACUGUGUGUCCUGUGAUUGUGUGACCUUUUUUUCUUCCUACUUUUGUGCGAACUCGGCCUACUGGAAAAGCCCAAUUACUAGUUGUCAUAGCAACAGAGUUUAGCUCAGUGUAAAAACCAGCCUCGGUGUUUCCUCAGUGUCGCCGUGAAGCAAAAGUUCAUAGAUUCUUCCUGGCAGAGUUGAUCUCCUUUCAUAACAAUUCCAGGUAAAAAAAAAAACAC
This is a long non-coding RNA of Cynoglossus semilaevis (tongue sole), 434 nucleotides long. RefSeq lists it as uncharacterized. The transcript has 2 exons. The record is from RefSeq and is a predicted model, not a curated record. Lineage: Eukaryota; Metazoa; Chordata; Actinopteri; Pleuronectiformes; Cynoglossidae.